AGAGUUUGAUCCUGACUCAGGAUGAACGCUAGCUACGAGGCUUAACACAUGCAAGUCGAGGGGCAGCAUUUUAGUUUGCUUGCAAACUGAAGAUGGCGACCGGCGCACGGGUGAGUAACACGUAUCCAACCUGCCGAUAACUCCGGAAUAGCCUUUCGAAAGAAAGAUUAAUACCGGAUAGCAUACGAAUAUCGCAUGAUAUUUUUAUUAAAGAAUUUCGGUUAUCGAUGGGGAUGCGUUCCAUUAGUUUGUUGGG
RNAcentral lists this ribosomal RNA (256 nucleotides) under uncultured bacterium. RNAcentral describes it as "partial 16S ribosomal RNA". It matches the Rfam family "Bacterial small subunit ribosomal RNA", at positions 8 to 253 of the family's 1533-position model. The record is from RNAcentral.